Molecule: non-coding RNA, 614 nt
Organism: Gasterosteus aculeatus aculeatus (three-spined stickleback)
Lineage: Eukaryota; Metazoa; Chordata; Actinopteri; Perciformes; Gasterosteidae
Source: RefSeq, a predicted model, not a curated record
UCAGCCUCAAUCUGAUUUUAUUCUUAUUUCACAGUUCAGCGAUACAAUACAGUUUGCCACUCGGAUGUGAGACAUUAAAAAAAGAACAGCAACGAAAAGUCAGAUAGGGAAGCAGGAACAAUCAGCCGGCAUCCCCGUCGGCCCCUCUCUUUGGUGUUUUGCUUUCCCUUAAGAUCUGCUGCCGAAGAAAGCCAAGCUCCUCAUUAAAAAAUCCUCCUGAGAGAGCAACACUCAAGGGAGCGUUUUACAUCGCUGACUACUCAGCGAGCUUUAAACCUGGAAAGAGAACGGCAGACAAGGAUGAGAGGCGGCGCAUCCGAGAAUAGGAACAGAGAGGGAAUCGUGUAUCUGUCUCGGCUGCCACCGUUAAGAUGGAAAAGGCAGCCGGUGAAGGAGCGACCUUAGACAAAACUAUCCCACUGUUCGCUACAGCGGAUCAUGAAGGAAAAACGACUCCUGUGGGCUGACACCAAUACAUUUCCUCCUGUCGGCGGAUCAAGAUGACUUCAAUCUGCUGUUCUUAUCUCAGAGAAUCGACGCUAUCGAUCUCUCUUCAUAAUAGAUACCCUGUUUUGCCCAGAAUUGAAUUAAAGGAGCAACAUUAUGACCUCUUA